Molecule: long non-coding RNA, 2747 nt
Filed under: Mus musculus (house mouse)
Lineage: Eukaryota; Metazoa; Chordata; Mammalia; Rodentia; Muridae
Description: long non-coding RNA chr3:109671013-109673760
Source: RNAcentral
GACUUUUGGUAUAGCAUUGCAAAUGUAAAUGAGCGAAAUACCUAAUAAAAAAUGGAAAAAAAAAAAAAAAAAAAAAAAAAAAAAAAAAAAAAAAGAAAAGCGGUUGAGUUGAAUUUAAGGCCCACUAUAGAUGGUUGGGAUCUUCACUUGGGAUCUAUAACAUCUACGAAGACCUCUCAGUUUUAAAGUAAAGUCAUAUUCCACAGGGUCAGACUGGAAAGAUCCUUAAGUGGGCUAUGGGAAGACUGUUAGACCCAUGAUAAUCUUGCAGUGUUGCUUUUAACUAUUCUCUAAAGAUUUCCAGACUAAUUUCAAUUUUUGUUUUUCAAAUGGCUAAUAGAGAGACUUCACAUUAUUGGUGCGGACAGGCCAAAUGAUGCAUGCAGUCAGGCAUUCUGGGAGAAUCAGGCUUCAAAUCAAUGAAAUUCUUUCAGCGUGUUACAGCUUUGCCAGCAUGAAAUGCGCCCUGCUCUUGAGAGAAAGCACUGUGAACCAAAGCAGGUUUCCAAGCAUCGCUUGAGCCAUUUGUCUGAAACAUGGCCUUAAAUACUCUGCAUAGAAUGUGAGAACAGAGAAUCCUGACUAAUACUCAAUAAUGUGCCAAUUAACAAAAUGAAAAUUCUCAAAUCCGUUCUAUAUACAUUAAAUUAAUGUCUCCAGUGGUGUAUUCCAUAAGCCUUUCAGCCCUGCAAAAAAUCACUAUGAAAGUUUGCCCCUGUUAAUGGGUUUCCACAGACCGAUGCAAGUUCGAUGUAUUCCCUUAGAGGAAAGAAAUAAUUUGUCUAGAACUCCCUAGUUUAUUUCACCAUACAAUACUACAUCUUGAUGUUUAAUUCUGAUGCCAAGCCUUAAAAGAGUCAGUAGGUGUGAAGCACUUAGAGGACUGUCUGGCACGUGGGCAGUGUUGGAUGCUUUGGCUUCUGGAACCACUACUGCUGUUCCUGUCACUACUUGCAUGUGUCCCACACUGUUGCCCAGUGUGAAAUUUUGUGUUAGCUUUAUUUGGCAAAUUUUAAUUUACUGGUGAAGCCAUUCUGCUUUCCCUUGGCAUAUUGCUUCUGCUUCCUGGGCUUCAGCUCAGCUCUCCCAUCGUGUGCACUAUGGGAUAACUUAAUUGUAACAUUCUCCUGAUAUUGCCAUACUUCCUCUCUUCACCCAUCUGUGAUGCCCACAGAGUAUUCAGUUCUUAGACAACUGGUCAACCAGAGCUGUACAUCAUUAUAACCAUGCCUUGCUGGGGCCCUCUUUUUAUUUACACCCUUUAAGAGCUUCAUUGGCUUCUCUAAGGCAUUUUUGUUCUGAGCAUGAUGGCUCUAGACAUUAAUAAUUAUGUCUGGGAUUCUAAACUUAAGUUCUACAAAUUUAGAUAACCUCAUACAAAGCUAUCUUUUUAAUAUUCCAUGGCUCAAAAAGCAGUACUUACUUACGUUCUUAGCACUUCUUAUCUUAGCAACGUCCAGUCCUAGAAGUCUUAUUUCUAAAUUGAAAAUUGACCCCCAUGCAGUUAAUCCAUGUAGUCAUAUCGUAUUGAACGUAGAGCAAUCAUGUGACAGCCCUGAUUCAAGGAUAUAUUUGUCUAGUCAUUCUUGCCGGGAAACUGUGCACAUUUAUCUGAAUUGAGAAAAUUUUCAUUUUUCUUUCUAAAAAUUCCAUCAUGGUUCUAGCUGUGCAAGAAAAUGCUGAGAGCUUUUCUGCCCAGAUACAGUCCAGUGAUAUACUGCUUCUGCUGCUGAGUUCUAAGUUUACACAUGACAAGCAUUAACUCUGCAUCUGUCUUCUGUCCUAUCAGCAUCCAGACGUUGAGGACACUGUCAGCCAGGCUUUCCUUUUGUUCCUUUUUUAUUUUGAUCAUUCCCUCCUCCACCAUCACUCCCAAGCUCCUGCAUUUACUCCCCCCCCCCCCCGCCUCCUAACCUCCUGCAUUCAGCAUUUAUCUAUUUACAGCUAAUUCAGUAGUACACACAUCUAUAAGGUAUUACAGAAUACACCCUAAUGCCUUAACAAUAAGCAUGAAUGGGGGAGAAUUCUCCCAAGAUCUAGGCACCUCAAACUUGCCUGCCUCAUCAGCUCUACAGGAAGCUUUUAAAAUAAAUAUCUUUUAUUACAGUCUUGGCAGGUGGCCAUCAGUCUUUGAACAUUGAGGUGACUUCAUUUCUAACUACCACACAAAAACAUUCACUUUAUGUCUUGAACAAAACUAAGUGGUUUUACUUACAUUAGCUAUAAAUAUCACUCAGUUUAGCUACUAUAGCUAUUUUUUUCAAUUAACUAUGGCAAGAACACAUCGUUCACACAUACACACACAUUUCAUUGUACUAUAAUAACCCCAGAAUAUGUUAUAAAGUAAUUAAUUUAUGUAUUUACAAUAACUAUCGCAACCUUUUCAUAAGUAUGCUUGUUUUAUUUUCCUUACUGUACAUCUUUCUCCUCCCCCACUUUAAAUACUUAUUCUAACUCUUACCAUAUGAGUGACUAUCAGGUAUUUAAUCAUCCUAGCUGCUGCUCCUUGAAUACAUUCUGAUUUGUCGGGACGUUGCACAAUACAUUUUGACAUCACUUGACUUCUUUACUCACUUUCCCCAGUGCAAAAACCGUUCUUCCCUGAAAAUAGCAGCAUGUUUUUCUAAUCUCAGCACUUAGUAAGCCAAGGAUGGAGGAUCUCGACCCCCAAGUUUGAGGUCAAACUUGUCUAUAUUAUCAAUUUCACGCUACCAAGGACUUCAUAGUAGGUCUAUUUGUGAACAAAC